GGAAGACUUAAUUAAAUAUCUGAAAUAUACACCACUGGAACCAAUUAAUAAUCAUCAAGGGAUCAGAAAAGGAAGGACAGUAAUAAAAAGAGUUUAUAAAGUCGAAAUUUCAGGUGAGAGGGAAAAAAUCCUAUCCACAUUCUUCUGAAUCUCUGAAUUGAUCAGCAUAUGAGAUAUGCUUCAGAUAUGUUUGCCUGUCAGACUCAUAAACACAACAAGAUAUGCCAGCUGCAAUGAAGAGAAGCCCUGUUUCAGUUCGUGGAUUACAGACUGCAACAUCCAUCAGCAUCAAGACAAACACCUUCAAACUACUGUCCUUGGCGUCCAGCCUAACAGAUCUGAGGAAUGUGAUAAAGGAACACUGGAUUCCCAAGGUCUGCUCAGGUUUCCUUCCAUAACAAGAAGUAGCCAAAUACAGCUGAACAGGCCUGUUCAGAGGUUCGUAACCUGCUCAAUGGUUUAAACAACAACAACAAGCAGUAUCGGAAGUCAGCAUCAUCUACUCAGCAGCCCAAAUCUGGAAGGUUUUGGAAAAAAUCAGGACACCACUGUUAACCACCUUAACAAGACUGCAAACACAGGCUGUCUAUUCCUCAUCAACAGAAUCUUUGAUACUGGCAAUUUGUUUAGAUUGGCUUGCAGAAGCAUAUAUUGGUAGCUAUGUUAUGAAUAUUUACCGGUUUCAUACACAUUCAUAAAAAUCAGAAACAUUUUCCUCCUAGGUAUCUGCAUUGGUCUUGAAUGGCUGUUUAAAAAUAAUCAGAAACCCCCACUCAUUCAAGAAUGACUCUUACCUACAACCCAAAUAAGCCAUACAGACAAGGGUAGAUCUCAGAUGAAUGAUAAUCAAGGGCCCUGUUAAAAUCUUCUGAAAUCAAAAAUAAAUAGUAAUUACUUUAUUAUCUAUCUGCCUAUCUAUUCAACCAUUCACAUUCUUUAAAAUUUUUGUAGGUACAUAGUAGGUGUACAUAUUUAUGGGGCAUAAGUUAUAUUUUGAUAUGGGCAUAAAUGUGUAAUAAUCACAUCAGGGUAAAUGGGGUAGCCAUCACCUCAAGCAUUUAUCCUAUUACAAGCAAUCCAAUUAUGCUUUUUUAGUUAUUUUGACAUGUGCAAUGAAGAUAUUAUUGAUUAUAGUCACCCUGAUAGGCUAUCAAAUCCUAAAUCUUAUUUAUUCUUUCUAACUAUUUUUUGGUACCAAUGAACCGUCCCCACUUUUCCCUCCAAGUUCCUUAACCUUCCCAGCCUCUGGUAACCAUCCUUCUACUCUCUCUCUCUCCAUGAGUUCAAUUGUUUAAAUUUUUAGCUCCCACAAAUAAAUGAGAUCCAUUCAUUCAUCCAUCCACCCAUCUAUCCAAAGUUGUUUUCACUGACUGCAAAUCCAUUGGUUGGGUCAAUUGCUUAUGAAGAUACAUGACAAAAGGGUGAUAUUUAUUUAUGUAUUUAAAAAAUGUGUUUCUCAAUGAGAACACAUGGACACAGGGAGGGGAACCUCACACGCUGGGGCCUGUUGGGUAGUGGGGGGCUAGCAGAGGGAUAGCAUUAGGAGAAAUACCUAAUGUAGAUGACAGGUUCAUGAGUGCAGCAAACCACCAUGGCACAUGUAUACCUAUGUAACAAACCUGCAUGUUCUGCACAUGUAUCACAGAACUUAAAGUAUAAUAGAAAAUGGCAAAAACCACAUUAAAAAAAAUGUGUUUCUUCCGCUAAAUUAGAACAAUCAAGCUCUGUGUUAUUCAUCACUGAAUAGCACAACCGAGAGGCUACCAGAAACAUACUUAGGGGUAUUUGAUAGGAUUUUCAAGAAGUCCACUGUCCAAAGAUUCUUAAUUCCUUUUCAGGAAGAACCAAGAAUCCUUAGAGCUAAUAAAUCUACUUCAAAUGUUUAAUGGGUAAAAAGAGUUUGACACUAACUACUCCAGGGCAAGAGAAAUUGCUAUGCAUAGCCUUAAUACACUACGGCUACAUCGUUAAACUGCGACCCAAACUACAUGUUUGCUCCAUCCCAGAAUCACCCCCAACAUGUCUAUUUAUCUCAAGAGGGAUUCUGAAAGCAAAUCUUUGUAAAUAAUCUGGACGUAUUUUUUUCCAGGACAGAUUCUAAAUUUUCCUACCAUAAAUGUAUGUGUGGUAGUAGUUAUAAUAAUUCUUAUUAGGAAUAUUUAUUUAAAACUGAUUUUUGUUUGAAUUUUGGUUAACUUAUUUCCCCUAUCGGAAGAAAAAAAUGGAAGUGGGAGGGAUAUUCAAAUAUAGAAUAAUAGUAAGGAAAAUGGUAAAUCUUUGAACUCUAUCUUGAUUACAUGCAAAUAUCUCUAAAAGGGAUAGCAAUAGUCAAACACACACAGGGAGAGAAAUGUGGAGUUAUUGAGUUAUUAAGGGAGCACUGCAUGUGGCUGGAAUAUUGGACAACAUUUUCCAAAAAGCAUUGAAGACUCUUUAAUUACUCAAGGCUAUCAAAUAUCAUGGAGCUGUGAUUUGUUUCUUGUCACACACACAGCUGACAAAGAGUGGCCACAAUGAAAAGCUGUGACUUGAUGACCUGUUAUUGGGAGUGCUUUUACAUUUUUAAUUUCUUUCUUACUCUUCCUUCCUUUGGGGGAAUGGAGAGAAACUCUCACCCCUUCCUUUUACCAUACAGUCAGAAGAUUAAUGUUUCAUAAUAGAAUCACAUAGAGUUGUGUUUGUUUUACUGUCAAGGGCAUUACGGAAACUGACAGUCAAACUACCAAUUUAAAAGGAUGCGUGGUGCUAUCCCGAACAAACAUAGGAGGCUUGUGUACAAUGCAAAGGCCAAUUAGAGGGUCAUAACAUCCUUCCUAAUUUGAUGUGACAUUGGUUUCCCAAAUGAAUGAAACCUGACACAUACAAAACUCAAAGUCUAUAACAAAGAAAACAGGUAGAGAUGGAAGGAAAGGUAAAAAGGAAAAAUGUUGACUGUCAUAUCCUGCUUAUUAUAAGCAGCUCACUUACAAAUUAUCAUAUUGCUUUUCUCUUAUCAUAUGACUUUCAUCUAUGGCAACUCCAAACACAGGUACAGAAGAGGUCCUGAUAAUACAUGUCCUAGAAUCACUGUCUUAUGAUUAUCAGAAUGUUUUAAUAAAUCCAUCACAUUGUCUGGGCUGCAAGCAAAAUAGCAUCACAGUUAUACAUGAUGAUAAAAAUUUUUGUAAUGAUCACAGUGUGUCACAAUAUAAUCACCAGGGCCAGAUCUUGAGACUCAAAUGUCACUUCAAGAGAAAGUUUCUGGAAGUUUUAAUGGACACAGAAUAAAUACAUAAAAAUUAGCAGGUCAUAGCUUUUUAACUCAUCAGAAAAGUGGUAUUUUCUCUGACCUUUUUUUUUUUUUAUAAAAUUUCAACCUCCCAAGUCCCUAUUUCUUUUAUCUACCUAGUUUCUCUUUGUAGCACUUAGCACUGUCAAACAAGUUACAUAAUUUACUUACUUGUUACCCAUUCCCAAGCCCCUCAUGCCUGGAAGAAAAUUCCACAGAGACAGGGUUUUUUGUCCACUUUGUUCAGAUCAGCAAAUAGUUAUUGAAUUAAUUAAUUACUUAAUGUCUUCAUACCAACUGGGUGUGGGCUUAGUAUUAAAAUCAUAUCACUGAGCCAAUUUGAGCAAAGGUGGAGGCUACAGAGAUUGACAAAGAAGAAGAAUAGGAGAUAGGAAGCCAAUGAUAGAAAAGAGAUGGUCAGGUAUAAACUUCUCAUGUGUUUCCCAUCCUUGCCUUACAUUUUCCUCUGCUGUUCUCUUGCUGCCAUUUCAUCUCACAGCCUUUCAUAUUUAGCCAACAGUGCUGUCGCCAAAGGAACUCAAUGCCCUGGAGAGAAAUUCAGUGUAUGCUUCUAUUCAUCCUCCCCUUAUCAGUGGGAACCAUAUCAUUUCAAAUGAUGCCAUGUUAUAAUCCCUAGAAUACAACAAAGUAACUCUCCUGCUAGUAUUAACAAGUUAAUCAAAUUAAAGGUAUUCAGAAUUUAUACUGCCUAAGGCUGUUUCUGCUUUGUCUUCUCCCCUGUUCUUCCCCUGAAACCUCCCACCAGCUUGAAUAGUAUAACUGAAAAUCCAGCUGAGACGGGCAACAUCUAAUAAUUCUUCACUGGAGUACGUUAUUUAGACUUCCAUUCACUGUGCAUACGUAUUCACUGAAUAUUAUUAAACUACAUAUUUAUUGAGUUGUGCCAUUCUUUCCUCUUUUUUGAGUUUCAUUUUAAAUGAACAUAUAGUUGUUUAAACCACAACUAUAACAUAAAUAAAAGAAACUCACAAAAUAAAACAUCUGGUAUCCCCAGGAAAUUAAAUGCUAAAAUACUAUGUUAAUUCAAGUGACAAGUGGAGACUUUAAAUGUGGAGAAUUCAAGAAAGAUCAAAUUUAUACUUCCCAUUGUCCCCAAAACAGCAAGGCAGCAUAUGUACAUUUAUUAAGAUAUAAAUAUAAGAUAGCAGGCAUGGUCUAGAGAAUUAAGUAGGCGACUUAGAAAUUGCUUUUGCCUUUGACUCAGCAUGUGAUCAUUAUAAAAUGUUAUUUAACAUUGAGGGUCUCAGUCUUUCCCUCUUUUCUAACUUUUUAUUUUCAAGAAUAUAUUUGCCUAAGUAAUUGAGAAAGUUAUACUUAACCCUUUUGUCC
Molecule: long non-coding RNA, 4618 nt
Filed under: Homo sapiens (human)
Lineage: Eukaryota; Metazoa; Chordata; Mammalia; Primates; Hominidae
Description: HSALNT0213616
Source: RNAcentral